This 403-nucleotide ribosomal RNA is filed under the name uncultured bacterium. RNAcentral describes it as "partial 16S ribosomal RNA". It matches the Rfam family "Bacterial small subunit ribosomal RNA", at positions 30 to 526 of the family's 1533-position model. The record is from RNAcentral.
AUUGAACGCUGGCGGCAGGCCUAACACAUGCAAGUCGAGCGAGCGGCGGACGGGUGAGUAAUGUAUGGGGACUGCCCGAUAGAGGGGGAUAACUACUGGAAACGGUGGCUAAUACCGCAUACUAUCGGAUAACCCAUAUGGGAUUAGCUAGUAGGUGGGGUAAAGGCUCACCUAGGCGACGAUCUCUCGCUGGUCUGAGAGGAUGAUCAGCCACACUGGGACGGAGACACGGCCCAGACGCCUACGGAGGCAGCAGUAGGGAAUCUUCGGCAAUGGACGAAAGUCUGACCGAGCAACGCCGCGUGGGGGAUGAAGGCUUUCGGGUUGUAAACCUCUUUCGCUAUCGAACGGGUAGGUGGAGAAGAAGCGCCGGCUAACUACGUGCCAGCAGCCGCGGUAAUAC